AACGAACGCUGGCGGCGCGCCUAAUACAUGCAAGUCGAGCGAGAAGACGUAGCAAUACGUUUGUAAAGCGGCGAACGGGUGAGGAAUACAUGGGUAACCUACCCUCGAGUGGGGAAUAACUAGCCGAAAGGUUAGCUAAUACCGCGUACGCUCCUUGGACUUCGGUUCAGGGAGGAAAGCGAUACCGUGGGUAUCGCGCUCUUGGAUGGGCUCAUGUCCUAUCAGCUUGUUGGUGAGGAACGGCUCACCAAGGCUUCGACGGGUAGCUGGUCUGAGAGGACGAUCAGCCACACUGGCACUGCGACACGGGCCAGACUCCUACGGGAGGCAGCAGUAAGGAAUAUUGCGCAAUGGGCGAAAGCCUGACGCAGCGACGCCGCGUGGGGGAUGAAGGUCUUCGGAUUGUAAACCCCUUUCGGGA
Molecule: ribosomal RNA, 421 nt
Filed under: uncultured bacterium
Lineage: Bacteria
Description: bacterial SSU rRNA
Rfam family: Bacterial small subunit ribosomal RNA
Source: RNAcentral